Molecule: ribosomal RNA, 881 nt
Filed under: Salmonella enterica subsp. enterica serovar Paratyphi A
Lineage: Bacteria; Pseudomonadati; Pseudomonadota; Gammaproteobacteria; Enterobacterales; Enterobacteriaceae
Also listed under: 1 other name
Description: bacterial SSU rRNA
Rfam family: Bacterial small subunit ribosomal RNA
Source: RNAcentral
GAAUUCCAGGUGUAGCGGUGAAAUGCGUAGAGAUCUGGAGGAAUACCGGUGGCGAAGGCGGCCCCCUGGACAAAGACUGACGCUCAGGUGCGAAAGCGUGGGGAGCAAACAGGAUUAGAUACCCUGGUAGUCCACGCCGUAAACGAUGUCUACUUGGAGGUUGUGCCCUUGAGGCGUGGCUUCCGGAGCUAACGCGUUAAGUAGACCGCCUGGGGAGUACGGCCGCAAGGUUAAAACUCAAAUGAAUUGACGGGGGCCCGCACAAGCGGUGGAGCAUGUGGUUUAAUUCGAUGCAACGCGAAGAACCUUACCUGGUCUUGACAUCCACGGAAGUUUUCAGAGAUGAGAAUGUGCCUUCGGGAACCGUGAGACAGGUGCUGCAUGGCUGUCGUCAGCUCGUGUUGUGAAAUGUUGGGUUAAGUCCCGCAACGAGCGCAACCCUUAUCCUUUGUUGCCAGCGGUCCGGCCGGGAACUCAAAGGAGACUGCCAGUGAUAAACUGGAGGAAGGUGGGGAUGACGUCAAGUCAUCAUGGCCCUUACGACCAGGGCUACACACGUGCUACAAUGGCGCAUACAAAGAGAAGCGACCUCGCGAGAGCAAGCGGACCUCAUAAAGUGCGUCGUAGUCCGGAUUGGAGUCUGCAACUCGACUCCAUGAAGUCGGAAUCGCUAGUAAUCGUGGAUCAGAAUGCCACGGUGAAUACGUUCCCGGGCCUUGUACACACCGCCCGUCACACCAUGGGAGUGGGUUGCAAAAGAAGUAGGUAGCUUAACCUUCGGGAGGGCGCUUACCACUUUGUGAUUCAUGACUGGGGUGAAGUCGUAACAAGGUAACCGUAGGGGAACCUGCGGUUGGAUCACCUCCUUACCUUAAAGAAGC